This 232-nucleotide long non-coding RNA is filed under the name Capsicum annuum. RNAcentral's name for it is "long non-coding RNA (CANN_LNC020464)". Lineage: Eukaryota; Viridiplantae; Streptophyta; Magnoliopsida; Solanales; Solanaceae. The record is from RNAcentral.
AAAGGAGAAAAAAUACAAAAAAAAAGAGAGUAAUAGAAAAUCAAGAAAAAACAAAAAAAAAAGGAUAAAAAAUAAAAAGCAAAAGAAGAAAAAGAAAAAAUAGGCAAAAUGAAAAAAAGGUAAUGAAAAAGAAAAGUUGAAAAAAGAAAGAAGAAAGAGAAAACAAAAAAAGGAAAAGAAAAAAUGAAGAAAAAAGAAGAGUAAUAGAAAAUAAACAAAAAAAUAAAAAAUA